Octopus sinensis (East Asian common octopus) is the source of this 276-nucleotide long non-coding RNA. RefSeq lists it as uncharacterized. The record is from RefSeq and is a predicted model, not a curated record. NCBI's taxonomy places the organism in Eukaryota, Metazoa, Mollusca, Cephalopoda, Octopoda, Octopodidae. The transcript is spliced from 3 exons.
UACAAGACAAAACAUCGCACCCUGGAGGACUUGGAGACACGGAUUCAGGAGGUACUCAAUGAUAUCCCAGAUGUCGUCCUUCAGAACGUUGUUCAUUCCAUCCUUGGCUGUUUGAGGAAACUGGUUGAAGCCACCGGUGCUUACGUUGAAAUAUGAAGAUUUACUUUCAUUUUCCCAUGUAAUAAAGAACAUGUAUAAUUUAUUUCAAUGAAUUUGUAAACGGAAUAUAGAUUUUAUUGCCAAUGUUUAAUGCCUACUUACCAAAUCGGAAGAGCA